Molecule: transfer RNA, 71 nt
Filed under: Petroclostridium sp. X23
Lineage: Bacteria; Bacillati; Bacillota; Clostridia; Eubacteriales; Oscillospiraceae
Description: tRNA-OTHER
Rfam family: tRNA
About the family: Transfer RNA (tRNA) molecules are approximately 80 nucleotides in length. Their secondary structure includes four short double-helical elements and three loops (D, anti-codon, and T loops).
Source: RNAcentral
GCCCAUGUAGCUUAAUGGAAGAGCACUGUUUCAUUCUUGCAGGAGGAGUCGGUUCAAGUCCGGCCAGGGCG